GAUGAACGCUAGCGGCAGGCCUAACACAUGUAAGUCGAGGGAUAAGCCUUCGGGCUAAGACCGGCGCACGGGUGCGUAACGCGUAUACAAUCUGCCUUUUAUCCGGGGGAUAGCCCGAAGAAAUUUGGAUUAAUACCCUAUGGUAUAAGAGCACGGCAUCGUGCACUUAUUAAAGCUACGGCGGUAAAAGAUGAGUAUGCGUUCUAUUAGCUAGUUGGAGAGGUAACGGCUCCCCAAGGCGACGAUAGAUAGGGGUUCUGAGAGGGAUGUCCCCCACACUGGUACUGAGAUACGGACCAGACUCCUACGGGAGGCAGCAGUGAGGAAUAUUGGACAAUGGUCGGAAGACUGAUCCAGCCAUGCCGCGUGCAGGAUGACGGCCUUAUGGGUUGUAAACUGCUUUUGUAAGGGAAGAAUAAGGAGUACGUGUACUUUGAUGACGGUACCUUACGAAUAAGCAUCGGCUAACUCCGUG
RNAcentral lists this ribosomal RNA (475 nucleotides) under uncultured bacterium. RNAcentral describes it as "partial 16S ribosomal RNA". It matches the Rfam family "Bacterial small subunit ribosomal RNA", at positions 28 to 507 of the family's 1533-position model. The record is from RNAcentral.